RNAcentral lists this long non-coding RNA (294 nucleotides) under Mytilus galloprovincialis (Mediterranean mussel). Lineage: Eukaryota; Metazoa; Mollusca; Bivalvia; Mytilida; Mytilidae. The record is from RNAcentral.
GGCCAACUAAAAUUAAUUAGUAGAUUUUCAUCCAAAUUUUUGAAAAAAAUGGGGCGGGUGGGAGGAUUUUAUUUUUUAAAUUUUAUUUCAUAAGAAACCCUCUAGUGACGAGUUUUUUAUACCGCAGGGGUAUAAACAAGUGUAACAUAAGCUAAUAUAUCAUGUAUAUUGUAUAUACAUGUAUAUAUAUAUAUAAGGAAUCGUUCAUAAAUUUUCAAACUCUUUAAAAAUAAAUAUCUCUGAUACUGGCAACCCCAAUUGACUGUUUUACAUGUAAUUGCUACUUUAAAAACC